UAGGGAAUAUUGGGCAAUGGGCGCAAGCCUGACCCAGCGACGCCGCGUGAGGGAUGAAGGUCUUCGGAUUGUAAACCUCUUUCAGUAGGGAAGAAGCGAAAGUGACGGUACCUAAAGAAGAAGCGCCGGCUAACUAUGUG
This 140-nucleotide ribosomal RNA is filed under the name uncultured bacterium. Its description in RNAcentral is "partial 16S ribosomal RNA". It matches the Rfam family "Bacterial small subunit ribosomal RNA", at positions 355 to 507 of the family's 1533-position model. The record is from RNAcentral.